RNAcentral lists this ribosomal RNA (410 nucleotides) under uncultured soil bacterium. Its description in RNAcentral is "bacterial SSU rRNA". It matches the Rfam family "Bacterial small subunit ribosomal RNA", at positions 509 to 916 of the family's 1533-position model. The record is from RNAcentral.
CAGCCGCCGCGGUAAUACGUAGGGUGCAAGCGUUGUCCGGAAUUAUUGGGCGUAAAGAGCUCGUAGGCGGUCUGUCGCGUCGGAUGUGAAAAUCCAGGGCUCAACCCUGGACCUGCAUUCGAUACGGGCAGACUAGAGUUCGGUAGGGGAGACUGGAAUUCCUGGUGUAGCGGUGAAAUGCGCAGAUAUCAGGAGGAACACCGGUGGCGAAGGCGGGUCUCUGGGCCGAAACUGACGCUGAGGAGCGAAAGCGUGGGGAGCAAACAGGAUUAGAUACCCUGGUAGUCCACGCCGUAAACGUUGGGCGCUAGGUGUGGGGAACCUUCCACGUUCUCCGUGCCGCAGCUAACGCAUUAAGCGCCCCGCCUGGGGAGUACGGCCGCAAGGCUAAAACUCAAAGGAAUUGACGG